Non-coding RNA from Zalophus californianus (California sea lion), 1361 nucleotides. Lineage: Eukaryota; Metazoa; Chordata; Mammalia; Carnivora; Otariidae. The record is from the annotation of a RefSeq genome assembly.
GAAACUCCCUGAUUCUUCAGUGCUCAGCCAUGACCUUCGUGUUCAUCUUGACGCUUGGGGUGCUUCUGUUCCUAAGAGGAACCGGAGCCCAGGCGGUGACCCAGCCUGAUGCCCAUGUCGCUGUCCCUGAAGAAUCCCCUCUGGAGCUGAGGUGCAACUACUCUUCUCUUCGGCCCUAUCUCUACUGGUACAUGCAGUACCCCAACCAAGGCCUCCAGCUUCUCCUCCAGUACGGAUCAGGGAACACCAAGGUUCAAGGUAUCAAAGGUUUCAAGGCUGAAUUUAAGGACAGUGAAACCUCUUUCCACCUGAAGAAACCCUCAGCCCAUUGGAGCGACUCAGCUGUGUACUUCUGCGCUUUAGAGGAAGACAGCAACUAUCGGUUGAUCUGGGGCUCUGGGACCAAGCUAAUUAUAAAGCCAGAUGUCAAGGAGCCUGACCCCGCUGUGUACCAGCUGGGAGGCUCUAAGUCCAAUCAGAUCUCAGUCUGCCUGUUCACCGACUUUGAUUCUGAAACCAAUGUGCAAGAACCGCAGGGGCCUGCGGUGAUCAGCUUGAACAGUACGGUGCUGGACAUGAAGGUGAUGAAUUCCAAGAGCAACGCGGCCCUGGCCUGGGGCAACAGCACCGAUUUUAAAUGCAAUGGUACCUUCAACGAGAAAUUCUUCUCCAGCUCCGACUUUUCCUGUGAUGCCACUUUGAUAGCGAAAAACUUUGAAACCGAUAUGAACCUAAACUUCCACAACCUGAUAGUGAUCGGGCUGCGCAUCCUCCUCCUGAAAGUGGCCGGGUUUAACCUGUUCAUGACGCUGCGGCUGUGGUCCCGCUGAGGUCACCAAGACCGUGAGAGAGCCCGGCACCCCCUCGCUCCCGACUCCCCACCCUACCUGCCUCCCCAGAGAGGCAGACCCUCUGCCCCCGUGGACAAGAAGGCUCCCUCCGCUUCUCUGGCCCCACUGGCAACAGCCAUCAACUGGAUCCCACCAGAUAGUCAUGAUCAAGAUGCUGAAGAGCUGCCGAACACUGCCUCCGCCCCCUCGGUUCCCUCCCUGCUGCCUGUCACGGGCCGGACACUCCGGCGAAGGCAGGGGGCUGCUACGGAGAGACACCCUGCCCCUACCCUGAGACCAACUCUUCCGUCCCCGGGGUGAGGGAUCCCCGGCGGGUCCUCUUGGCCUCUGCCUCCUGGAGAACAUUGUGAGGAGUUUGUAUUUUUUAAAUAGUGUUCAUCAGGAAAUAUGUAUCACCCUUUUUCCCCAAGAUGUGGGGGAAAGUAUUAUGGAGGCCCUGCUGUGCUGUGUGUCUGAGCCACGUUGUAUAUUCUGCUGCCCGUGGCUUCAUUAAAGGCAAUUUGAAAGAGC